Molecule: non-coding RNA, 96 nt
Filed under: pig gut metagenome
Description: pemK RNA
Rfam family: pemK RNA
Source: RNAcentral
AUAAUGAUACUUCUAUCCAGCCACAGUCCGAGCGUUAAAAGCGUCGCAGGCAAUGGGGAUAGCCCGGACGGAUGUCGGGGAGGUGAAAUUCCUAUG